UGCCUAACACAUGCAAGUCGUACGAGAGUUUUUAACUCUAGUGGCGGACGGGUGAGUAACACGUGAGAAUUUACCUUUAGGAGGGGGAUAACAAUUGGAAACGAAUGCUAAUACCCCAUAUGCUUUCGAGUGAAAUGGAUUUAUAUUUAUUCGCCUAAAGAGAAGCUCGCGGCUGAUUAGCUUGUUGGUAAGGUAAGAGCUUACCAAGGCGACGAUCAGUAUCUGGUUUGAGAGGACGAUCAGACACACUGGAACUGAGACACGGUCCAGACUCCUACGGGAGGCAGCAGUGGGGAAUUUUCCGCAAUGGGCGAAAGCCUGACGGAGCAAUACCGCGUGAGGGAAGACUGCCUAUGGGUUGUAAACCUCUUUUUUCAGGGAGGAAUAAAUGACGUGUACCUGAAGAAUAAGCAUCGGCUAACUCCGUGCCAGCAGCCGCGGUAAGACGGAGGAUGCAAGUGUUAUCCGGAAUCACUGGGCGUAAAGCGUCUGUAGGUGGUUUAAUAAGUCAACUGUUAAAUCUUGAGGCUCAACUUCAAAAUCGCAGUCGAAACUAUUAGACUAGAGUAUAGUAGAGGUAAAGGGAAUUUCCAGUGGAGCGGUGAAAUGCGUAGAUAUUGGAAAGAACACCGAUGGCGAAAGCACUUUACUGGGCUAUUACUAACACUCAGAGACGAAAGCUAGGGUAGCAAAUGGGAUUAGAUACCCCAGUAGUCCUA
This 719-nucleotide ribosomal RNA is filed under the name uncultured cyanobacterium. RNAcentral's name for it is "bacterial SSU rRNA". It matches the Rfam family "Bacterial small subunit ribosomal RNA", at positions 45 to 798 of the family's 1533-position model. Lineage: Bacteria; Bacillati; Cyanobacteriota. The record is from RNAcentral.